This 640-nucleotide long non-coding RNA is filed under the name Ficedula albicollis (Collared flycatcher). RNAcentral describes it as "lncRNA (ENSFALG00000021324.2)". Lineage: Eukaryota; Metazoa; Chordata; Aves; Passeriformes; Muscicapidae. The record is from RNAcentral.
AUAAAACGCAUUGUUUAAUAGUGAUCACAAAGAAGUUUUCAAAAUCCUGCGGCCUACCUGUGGUGAAAGAAGAUUUUCUUGGGGGGACUUAAUUAAUGAAGCAAGCUGCUGAAUCUCCUGCAUCAAAAAACAGUGCAGACAGCACUUGAACCCUUCUGGUGGGACAGGAGAAAAGGAGAAAACUCAGGACAGAUGAGGCGAAAGAGCAUCUUUCCCUUUAAGGCUAACUGUGAUACCUUCAGAAGGAAGAACACUUUUUAGGAAAGGAUAAUGUCAUAGUCAUUCCUGUCGGAGAUACUACACUUCACAUGGAUAGCUGCAUUAUCUGUUUGGAGAGAGCAUAAGGGAAGAUGACUUAAUAGUCCAGAAAAGGGAAAACCUGCUGGGUAUGUGGGUGUGUGAGUUUCAGAUCCAUGAACUGACAUAUGCAAAGCAAGAACGUCAUGGUUGGAUUUUUACCCCCACAUGGCUGCCUGAAACUCUUUUAAGCAGGCACUUUCCUCUAGGGACCUGCUUUUCAGUUAGAGGAAAUGAACCAUGCCCGUUGCAGCAGAGAAAUUGCAGAGUGAAAAGGGAUAUGUUCCCUGGACAGAGAUGUGGCUUUUGCUGGCAGUGCUUUACUGUGUUACAUGCCUCAUGA